CAUUAUGGCUUCCUCAAGGGUAGGUAUAGAAAGGUCAGGUUCAGAGGUAUGAGGUGGAGAGGUUGAAGGGCUGAGGUUGAGUGUUAGAGGUUCAGGUUCUGCUUCAGGUUGAGGUUCAGAUCUUUGGGGUGAAGAGUAAAGAGGGUUUAAGUCUAAUGGUAGAGGUUCAGUUUCAGCUUCAGGUUCAGGUUCAGCGGAGGUGUUUGGAGGGGUGAUAUCAGAGGUGUGGAGGUCAGAGGGUUGAGUUUCAGAAGGUUGGUCUUCAGAAG
RNAcentral lists this long non-coding RNA (269 nucleotides) under Lathyrus oleraceus (garden pea). RNAcentral describes it as "Pisum sativum (pea) long non-coding RNA (PSAT_LNC000990)". The record is from RNAcentral. Lineage: Eukaryota; Viridiplantae; Streptophyta; Magnoliopsida; Fabales; Fabaceae.